RNAcentral lists this long non-coding RNA (2994 nucleotides) under Triticum aestivum (bread wheat). RNAcentral describes it as "long non-coding RNA (TAES_LNC008989)". Lineage: Eukaryota; Viridiplantae; Streptophyta; Magnoliopsida; Poales; Poaceae. The record is from RNAcentral.
UCAUCCUCCACCAGGAGCUCUGCCGCAUUUUCCGUGGCUACACCGUCCGCAAGCAGCGGUCGGCUCCAUCCAAUAUCUUCAGGCCUCCACCUCGUCAAGUAGGUAUUCCCUCGAAUUACAUCUCCUGUACAACUUUUAGCAUUAAAAAGUAGCCUCUUUCAGUUUUCUUCUACUCUCUUCUAUGUUCCUAUUGAACAUGCCUGUCGUUGUUGACUUCUAGUGGAUCCUUUUUUACUGAAAUGUGAUCUAUAUAGUGUAGUUCCGGAUUAUAAAGUUAAAGCUCGUUGCUGUAGUAGUUGAUUGGUACAAUGAGUAAUCAAUUUCCUCUAAUUGAGUUUGUAAUGCACGGCAUGGUGUUGGUAUGUUUGUCCGGCAGAUCAAAAUUGGGAAGUGGCUUGUUAGUCUGGUAAAAGUAAAAUCAAACAUGGAAAAUGUGAUGUAAAAUCUUGUCGUUUUAACACGUAAAUGUCUUCUGAGCAGGGUGCACAUUCUCUUGUGGUGAUCUUCUAUGCUUUGUUGAAAUACCGUAGGAUCUGCAUCAGGUUACUGAAUUACUGACGCAUAAUCUAUUGCUGGUUCUGUGAGCCUUUGACGCAUAAUCUAUAUUAUUGUCUGAAUCUAAAUAAUAUAGUGCACUUCGCAACACUGUCUCACCUUAGGUUCACAUCUAACAUAGGUGGUCAACUGUAUUAGCAUGGUAUUUUACAUCAUUUAUUCUUGGUGGCAAGAAUGUACAAUCUACUAUUAAUACUAAAUCUCUCAUAUUGUCCGUUAUGAGAUUAGAUAGCAUUAUAUGGCUUUUGUACAGUUGCCUUUCAUAGUUUGAUGCAGUCUCACGAGUUAAAAAGCAAUACUUAGGAUGUGAUUGAAGAUGCAACUGUGAAAGAUUACGAACAAUUGGCCUUCAUUAACAGGUAACAAUGUAAAAGUAGAUAUUUGCAAUUUGAAGAUAAAAAAAGCUGGUCGAAUAGUUUUUUUUUACUUUUGUAGUGUUAGACACAAGCAGCAUAUGUCAAAAUGUGUUACACCGAAGGUUUGCAUGAUGAUUGGCACUUGCAGUCAAUAUUACUGACUUAAGCUUGGUAAGAAUGUUGCCUGCAUUGCUGCCCUUGUACUAUACUUCUAACAUGAUGCCUCUCAAUGGCACUAAUAAAUUAUGCACUUUCACUGUGAGCAUAAGUGGCCUCCAAAUCUGGCAUAAAUUUUAUGGUUGUUUGCAUGAUCAUAAGAACAUGGCUCAAGCUGUAUGUAUGCAAUUUUCUUCUACUUUUUGGUAUGCUCAUAUUGGAUCUCACAUAGUUUAGUUCUUUAUUUGAUAAUGGAAGUGAAAUGCAUGAACUUGGCAUAUGUUUCUAUGCACACAUUCCUUUCAUUAGCCUUGUUGAUUAGCAUAUGAUUUUAACAUUGUUUUGUCAAAGACUUUAUGUAGAAAAUGUAGCCUUCGAAGCAUGAGCAUCCCAAGGCAGGAUGCAGAAAAUGUAGAACCAGAUGAAGGAAAAUUACAAGGCCCUACAGAGAUUGAUGAUUCAUUACCAAAAAUCCUCCUGAAUCUACUAGUCAAAUUAAAAUGAUUUGUAAGCUCAAACAUUUUUUCUACCAUGUUUAGUUGCAGCUGAACUGAGCCUCAACUGUAGAAAGCACACAUUGAAAAGUUAGAUAGGGCUGAUCGGCUUUACUAAGUGACCAGUUCACUAACCAGGUAUAUUCAAACAAAGGAUUAGAAGAAGUGUGGUGUACUGUUUCGUACAAGUAGGGUAUUUGCUCGCCAUUGAUUUUUUUAGCACAUGAUAUCGUCAUGAACUAGCAGCAGCAGCAGUAGCAAGUAACUCUAGUGCAACAAAAUGUGAUAAUUAUGGAAAUCUGCAGUAUGUAGUAAGAUGAGGGUGUCUAUUUGUCAUAGUAAUAAUCUUAGUGACGAGCAAUUGCACUAUAUAAAUCCUAGAGCUGGUAAAGAGAAGAGUUCAUAAUCAUGUCUAUGGUACAACCAGGAACAAUAUAGGAUCAAUAUGUACAUAAUAAGGGUGAUUAGUUAGUGCAUUUACUAUGCAUCAUAUCAGACCUCCUGUAUUUUAUCUUCCCUGAUUAUAGCUUAUCUCGUGUCUACAUUUGCACCUAUUCUUAGUCAAUCGCAGAAUGCUCAUGCUGAAACUAGCAAUGCAACCAAGCAAAGUAGCCUUCAACAAAGUGUGCAGCUUCACGAAGUCACUAAGUAGGUUUGUGAUAAUGACCGUUUCAUUUCUUUUAAUAAUAAGGCAAAACUGAAGUCUUGUUGUAUUUGAUGAAAUGAGAAACAAAAGUAAACUUCUGGCAAAAGGAGCUUUAGUGAGUAAGAUUAAACAUAUGUGGUCUGAGGAAACAUGCUUGGAGAGCAAUAUAUUUGUAGUUUCUAUUCGCCGUGUUUCAAAUGUUGGAGAUGAGAGACUGGUGUGACCAUAUGAAAAAUUCAAAACAGUAAGUGAUGUUAUUGGUUAUGUUAUUGCUUGGCCUCGAUCACAUUUAAGUCCACUUGCAUAAAAGCAAUCGAGUAUUCUCCAAUGUCCAUACUUACGAUUUAUUAUUGAUGAAGAAUCUUUGUGGUUUAGGUAAAAAAACAAUCUAAGCCAGCCCCUCCGAACACAGACACAAAACAUUGCUAGUCCAACACAACCAUGAAAUAUUGGUACUGUACAUCUCUUACAAUGUCAUGAUAGUCUAAAAGGUUAUGUUCAUCUAAACUUUUCUUUGUUAUCUACCUUUUUCAGGUUAGAGGAUUCAGAAAAGGAGUGCAUUGCACGAGCCAGGAGCAACUACAGAUGAAUAAUCUUCAAAUGAACAAAUAUUAUAGAUGAUGUAUAGAUUUUAGCUUCAAAGGAGUACUUAGUUCUACUUUGUAGGGUUUUCGUAAUUAUUUGUAUCUUCCGUAUGAAUAUCUCAUUUGUGAGCUCCACACUUUCAGUAGAGGUAUUUGUUCCUAUUAAUUUAUCCACUUUAUGUUAAUUGUGUGAGAAUGCAAUU